Molecule: unclassified non-coding RNA, 259 nt
Filed under: Glomus sp.
Lineage: Eukaryota; Fungi; Glomeromycota; Glomeromycetes; Glomerales; Glomeraceae
Description: partial contains 5.8S ribosomal RNA and internal transcribed spacer 2
Rfam family: 5.8S ribosomal RNA (bases 1-71)
Source: RNAcentral
GUGAAUCAUCGAAUCUUUGAACGCAAAUUGCACUCCCUGGUAUUCCGGAGAGCAUGCCUGUUUGAGGGUCAGUUUAAAUAAAAAUCGGUGUGGUUGCUGCCUUUCGUGGUGACGCACUGGUUUUGGGUAGUCUGGCAAUUGGUUAAGUGACAUAAAAUUUAGCGAGAUUUCUUCGAACGUUUUUAAAUGAUUAUAAGUAAGUUAGCGAUAUAGAAUCAUAGGUGCGGUCAUUCUCAUGAUUCGCGCCUAUAUUUUCUCA